Rhipicephalus sanguineus (brown dog tick) is the source of this 197-nucleotide long non-coding RNA. RefSeq lists it as uncharacterized. The transcript has 3 exons. The record is from RefSeq and is a predicted model, not a curated record. Lineage: Eukaryota; Metazoa; Arthropoda; Arachnida; Ixodida; Ixodidae.
GGUGGCGACAGCUGGGGCAGCGGCGUAGGUGGCGACUGGAGCGGCGUGGGCAACAGUGGUGGCCACAGCUGGGGCAGCAGCGUAGGUGGACACGGUGCGGGCAACAGCUGGGGCAGCGACGGCGUAGCUGGCGGCUGGGGCGUAGCUGUAGCCGAGACCAAGACCAGAGUAGCCGAUGCCGUGGGCAAGGCCGUAGU